RNAcentral lists this microRNA (23 nucleotides) under Pristionchus pacificus. RNAcentral describes it as "ppc-miR-8215b-3p". The record is from miRBase by way of RNAcentral. Lineage: Eukaryota; Metazoa; Nematoda; Chromadorea; Rhabditida; Neodiplogasteridae.
UGUGCACGAUUGUCUACGGGUGA